RNAcentral lists this long non-coding RNA (573 nucleotides) under Pan troglodytes (chimpanzee). RNAcentral's name for it is "long non-coding RNA NONPTRT000113". The record is from RNAcentral. Lineage: Eukaryota; Metazoa; Chordata; Mammalia; Primates; Hominidae.
GCGGCAUUGGGCAUGGAGCAUCCGAGGGUCCAAGGGGUGGAUGCAGGAACGUUGGCAUCCAUUCAACAAAGGCCUGUUGGGUUCUAGCGGUGCUCAGAGCUGGGGUGCAGUGAUGGGGGAGACAUGUCCCCUCCAGAGCGUCACAGAAGGCAGGCGACAUACUCCACUCUUCCCACCAUAACUACCAUCCAGCCCACUGAAGACCACCAUGAGGACGUAACAAACAGGACCCUCCAGCCUGCCCAGGUGCAAGACCCUGCUGGGCCUGGGUGAGGUGAGAUGCACCAGUGCCAGCUCCAAUCUGCCCUUGCCAAAUGCUGUUCCAAAUUGGCUCCGUGAAACCAGAACCGUGAAAUCCCAUCAGGACAGCUGGAGGUAAGCACAGCGGUGGAAGGAUUUAGACCACGUCGAAACGGCUCAUGGACAAGAGGGUGAGAACCCGUGGACUCCUGGGCAAAGGCACCAUCGGGAACAUUAAGAAAGCAAUCCCACCUCAAACCCACAACCAAAAUAUUUUAUAAGAACCCUCCCUUCCCCCCCCCCACUCUCUUUUUGUCAAGUAAAGGAUACACA